UCUUUCAGUUCCUUUGGUGACUCCUUUGAUGUCUCUUCUUGUUCAUCUUCAGUACUGUGAGAAAGAAAAGACUGAAUAAAUACUCUCUAAGGGUCAGCUCUGAAAUCAGUUAAAGACUCUAUACGACCGUGAGCAAAUUCAUGAGAAAAUCAACAGAGCACAGGAACUUUGCUGGGAGGUUUGGACGAGGCUGUCCCUCAGGAUCCCCCCAGCUCUAAACAUCUGUGAUCCAAUAGAAGAAAGUGAAGGGAAGUGAUUCUCAAGAAAUCUUCCCUAAGGGCUUAUUACCAGAGACUUGAGGUUGGGC
Symphalangus syndactylus (siamang) is the source of this 307-nucleotide long non-coding RNA. RefSeq lists it as uncharacterized. Lineage: Eukaryota; Metazoa; Chordata; Mammalia; Primates; Hylobatidae. The record is from RefSeq and is a predicted model, not a curated record.